UGGGGAAUAUUGCGCAAUGGACGAAAGUCUGACGCAGCAACGCCGCGUGAGUGAAGAAGGCCUUUGGGUUGUAAAGCUCUUUCGGCCGGGAAGAAGGGGAUUGGUGUGAAUAGCAUUGAUUUUUGAUGGUACCGGAAGAAGAAGCACCGGCUAACUUCGUGCCAGCAGCCGCGGUAAUACGAAGGGUGCGAGCGUUGUUCGGAAUUACUGGGCGUAAAGGGUUCGUAGGCUGAAAUGUAAGUCAAGUGUGAAAUCCCCGAGCUUAACUUGGGACGUGCACUUGAAACUGUGUUUCUUGAGUGUUGGAGAGGGUGGUGGAAUUGUAGGUGUAGGAGUGACAUCCGUAGAGAUCUGCAGGAACAUCGGAGGCGAAGGCGACCACCUGGCCAAAGACUGACGCUGAGGAACGAAAGCGUGGGGAGCAAACAG
RNAcentral lists this ribosomal RNA (429 nucleotides) under uncultured bacterium. RNAcentral's name for it is "bacterial SSU rRNA". It matches the Rfam family "Bacterial small subunit ribosomal RNA", at positions 355 to 775 of the family's 1533-position model. The record is from RNAcentral.